This 493-nucleotide ribosomal RNA is filed under the name uncultured bacterium. RNAcentral's name for it is "partial 16S ribosomal RNA". It matches the Rfam family "Bacterial small subunit ribosomal RNA", at positions 28 to 507 of the family's 1533-position model. The record is from RNAcentral.
GACGAACGCUGGCGGUGUGCUUAACACAUGCAAGUAGUGCGACGAACCAGGGCUUUCCUUGGCUCAAAGCCUCGCACGCGUGAGUAACACGCGUGUAAUCUACCCCGAUGACCGGGACAACCCGAUUAAACUCGGGCGAUAACACGACGUGAUACGGAGUCAUACGUCUCUUCACUAAAAGUAGCUCCGUCUUCCGCAUUGGAAGGGGCCCGCGGGCCAUUAGCUUGUUGGUGGGGUCAAGGCCUACCAAGGCAACGAUGGGUAGCUGGUCUGGGAGGACGAUCAGCAACACUGGGACUGGGACACGGCCCAGACUCCUACGGGAGGCAGCAGUGGGGAAUCUUGCGAAAUGCGCGAAGGCGUGACGCAGCAACACCGCGUGAGGGAAGAAGGCCUUAGGGUUGUAAACCUCGUUCAGAGGGGACGAAGGUUGUCCGGUGAAUAGCCGAGAGGAUUGACGGUACCGUAAGAAGAAGCUCCGGCUAACUACGUG